RNAcentral lists this small nucleolar RNA (108 nucleotides) under Rhinocladiella mackenziei CBS 650.93. RNAcentral describes it as "A. fumigatus snoRNA Afu_264". It matches the Rfam family "A. fumigatus snoRNA Afu_264". Lineage: Eukaryota; Fungi; Ascomycota; Eurotiomycetes; Chaetothyriales; Herpotrichiellaceae. The record is from Rfam by way of RNAcentral.
UUUCAUGAUGACAAACAACGCAAAACUUAUAUAUUUCUGGUACCUCUUAUGUCAGAAGGGGCAUGUGAUCAAGCAUCUCCCUUCGAUGAUCUUAAUGGACUUCUGAUU